GAUUAACGCGAAGAACCUUACCAACUUUUGACAUGUCCCGUAUGGGUUUCAGAGAUGAGAUCCUUCAGUUCGGCUGGCGGGAACACAGGUGCUGCAUGGCUGUCGUCAGCUCGUGUCGUGAGAUGUUGGGUUAAGUCCCGCAACGAGCGCAACCCUCGGCCUUAGUUGCCAUCAUUCAGUUGGGCACUCUAAGGCGACUGCCGGUGAUAAGCCGGAGGAAGGCGGGGAUGACGUCAAGUCCUCAUGGCCCUUACGGGUUGGGCCACACACGUGCUACAAUGGUGGUGACAAUGGGGAGCAAAGGCGCGAGCCCGAGCCGAUCUCAAAAAGCCAUCUCAGUUCGGAUUGCACUCUGCAACUCGGGUGCAUGAAGUUGGAAUCGCUAGUAAUCGCGCAUCAGCACGGCGCGGUGAAUACGUUCCCGGGCCUUGUACACACCGAAUC
RNAcentral lists this ribosomal RNA (444 nucleotides) under uncultured bacterium. RNAcentral's name for it is "bacterial SSU rRNA". It matches the Rfam family "Bacterial small subunit ribosomal RNA", at positions 954 to 1396 of the family's 1533-position model. The record is from RNAcentral.